AUACAACUGGAGUGCAUGUAUGACUCACUAUACAUUCGGGCCUAACACUUUUUAAAAGGGAAUGAGAAUCUUUUAUCGGUAUAAAACGCUUCCUUUAGUUGAAGACUUUAGAAGAUAAAGCUAUCGUACCCACCUGAUUAUAUCAGGACCAAUUUAGGUGAUAAUCUACGGUACUCUGGUUUUGUG
This 186-nucleotide non-coding RNA is filed under the name Gemella sp. oral taxon 928. RNAcentral describes it as "6S RNA". It matches the Rfam family "6S / SsrS RNA". Rfam says of the family: E. coli 6S RNA was the first non coding RNA to be sequenced, but its function was unknown until recently. It consists of 184 nucleotides that fold into an extended hairpin structure with a large single-stranded internal bulge. The 6S RNA specifically associates with RNA polymerase holoenzyme containing the sigma70 specificity factor. Lineage: Bacteria; Bacillati; Bacillota; Bacilli; Caryophanales; Gemellaceae. RNAcentral also lists the same sequence under 1 other name. The record is from RNAcentral.